CCCCGGGCUCAACCNGGGAACUGCGUUCCGAACUGGGUGACUAGAGUGUNUCAGAGGGAGGUAGAAUUCCACGUGUAGCAGUGAAAUGCGUAGAGAUGUGGAGGAAUACCGAUGGCGAAGGCAGCNUCCUGGGAUAACACUGACGUUCAUGCCCGAAAGCGUGGGUAGCAAACAGGAUUAGAUACCCUGGUAGUCCACGCCCUAAACGAUGUCGAUUAGCUGUUGGGCAGCAUGACUGCUUAGUAGCGAAGCUAACGCGUGAAAUCGACCGCCUGGGGAGUACGGUCGCAAGAUUAAAACUCAAAGGAAUUGACGGGGACCCGCACAAGCGGUGGAUGAUGUGGAUUAAUUCGAUGCAACGCGAAGAACCUUACCUGGUCUUGACAUGUACGGAAUCCUCCAGAGACGGAGGAGUGCCUUCGGGAGCCGUAACACAGGUGCUGCAUGGCUGUCGUCAGCUCGUGUCGUGAGAUGUUGGGUUAAGUCCCGCAACGAGCGCAACCCUUGUCAUUAGUUGCCAUCAUUAAGUUGGGCACUCUAAUGAGACUGCCGGUGACAAGCCGGAGGAAGGUGGGGAUGACGUCAAGUCCUCAUGGCCCUUAUGACCAGGGCUUCACACGUCACACAAUGGUCGGUACAGAGGGUAGCCAAGCCGCGAGGCGGAGCCAAUCUCACAAAACUGAUCGUAGUCCGGAUUGCACUCUGCAACUCGAGUGCAUGAAGUCGGAAUCGCUAGUAAUCGCAGGUCAGCAUACUGCGGUGAAUACGUUCCCGGGUCUUGAACACACCGCCCGUCACACCAUGGGAGUGGGGGAUACCAGAAGUAGGUAGGGUAACCGCAAGGAGCCCGCUU
This 853-nucleotide ribosomal RNA is filed under the name uncultured bacterium. RNAcentral's name for it is "bacterial SSU rRNA". It matches the Rfam family "Bacterial small subunit ribosomal RNA", at positions 601 to 1455 of the family's 1533-position model. The record is from RNAcentral.